This 468-nucleotide ribosomal RNA is filed under the name uncultured bacterium. RNAcentral's name for it is "partial 16S ribosomal RNA". It matches the Rfam family "Bacterial small subunit ribosomal RNA", at positions 28 to 507 of the family's 1533-position model. The record is from RNAcentral.
GACGAACGCUGGCGGCGUGCUUAACACAUGCAAGUCGAACGGAAAGGCCCUGCUUUUGUGGGGUGCUCGAGUGGCGAACGGGUGAGUAACACGUGAGUAACCUGCCCUUGACUUUGGGAUAACUUCAGGAAACUGGGGCUAAUACCGGCUAGGAGCUCCUGCUGCAUGGUGGGGGUUGGAAAGUUUCGGCGGUUGGGGAUGGACUCGCGGCUUAUCAGCUUGUUGGUGGGGUAGUGGCUUACCAAGGCUUUGACGGGUAGCCGGCCUGAGCGGGUGACCGGCCACAUUGGGACUGAGAUACGGCCCGGACUCCUACGGGAGGCAGCAGUGGGGAAUAUUGCACAAUGGGCGGAAGCCUGAUGCAGCAACGCCGCGUGCGGGAUGACGGCCUUCGGGUUGUAAACCGCUUUCGCCUGUGACGAAGCGUGAGUGACGGUAAUGGGUAAAGAAGCACCGGCUAACUACGUG